GUGGGGAAUAUUGGACAAUGGGGGGAACCCUGAUCCAGCCAUGCCGCGUGUGUGAAGAAGGCCUUUUGGUUGUAAAGCACUUUAAGCGAGGAGGAGGCUACCGAGAUUAAUACUCUUGGAUAGUGGACGUUACUCGUAGAAUAAGCACCGGCUAACUCUGUGCCAGCAGCCGCGGUAAUACAGAGGGUGCAAGCGUUAAUCGGAUUUACUGGGCGUAAAGCGCGCGUAGGUGGCCAAUUAAGUCAAAUGUGAAAUCCCCGAGCUUAACUUGGGAAUUGCAUUCGAUACUGGGUGGCUAGAGUAUGGGAGAGGAUGGUAGAAUUCCAGGUGUAGCGGUGAAAUGCGUAGAGAUCUGGAGGAAUACCGAUGGCGAAGGCAGCCAUCUGGCCUAAUACUGACACUGAGGUGCGAAAGCAUGGGGAGCAAACAGGAUUAGAUACCCCUGUAGUCC
This 451-nucleotide ribosomal RNA is filed under the name uncultured bacterium. RNAcentral's name for it is "partial 16S ribosomal RNA". It matches the Rfam family "Bacterial small subunit ribosomal RNA", at positions 354 to 796 of the family's 1533-position model. The record is from RNAcentral.